AUGAAAUGUGUGAAGUCAACUAGAAUUGUUCUGAAUGAACUUAGAGAAAAUGAAUGGGAAUCUAUGCUAGGUGAAGUUCAUGUGUUUUGUGAGACGCAUGAUAUUGUAGAGUUGGACAUGGAAGAAGCAUAUGUUAAUCCAAAAAAGAGAAGGCGGGUAACUAGAAUUACAAACAAACAUCACUAUCAAGUUUGUUUCAAUGAUUUUUUUGGUUGGCUAGUUCAAGAGCUUGACAAUCGGUUCAGUGAGACAUCCGCUAAUUUGCUUGUUUGGUUAGCGGCUUUGAGUCCAAGAGACUCAUUUCGUGAUUUCAAUUUGGAGAAUCUUAUGAGCUUGGCUAAACUAUACCCUCAAGAUUUUGAUUCUGGGGAACUGAGGGAUCUGGAUAAGGAUCUACGCCUCUAUAUUGCUGAUGUACGCACAGAUGAUAGUUUUUCCAACAUAGCAACAAUCACUGAGCUUUCAAAAAAAUGGCGCAGACAGGGAGGCACAUUGUGUAUCCUUUGUUUUAUCGGUUGUUGA
RNAcentral lists this ribosomal RNA (522 nucleotides) under Triticum aestivum (bread wheat). Its description in RNAcentral is "partial small subunit ribosomal RNA". Lineage: Eukaryota; Viridiplantae; Streptophyta; Magnoliopsida; Poales; Poaceae. The record is from RNAcentral.